ACCUUUUUCGAUACCAUCCGAUCACCAUUGUGUGCUGCCACCACUUGUAGCCUGCAGUAGUUAUUACCGCUUCUACUGGGAACUUGCGCCAUCCGCUGCACCCUCAUGCCUUUGUGCAGCAGAGACCUUUUCGGUGUGUUGCGCGGUCGCUGCAACGAGCCGGGUUGUGAGUGCAAGCGAUACACCAUUCUGCGCCUGUCGGAAAGUGACAACCUGGUGAGGUGUGACUAUUGUGACCACGUCCCAAAUGCACACGGAAAAAUAUGUGAUCUCGAAACGAAAAAUGCAGCCGAGGCAAAGGUGCAAUGCAAUGUGCCAGGCACCGUUGUUCGAGGCCUCAGUGUCACAUGAAACUGUGGAAGCUUGCACAUCUAGUCUCCUCAGUGCAAUAUGAGAGGACUGUCCCAGUUGGUGCCUCCAUAGAAAAUGAAUCGGCCUGAAUGCCUGUGCAAGAAUCACAACCUGGCUGCUCUAAAGACUCCGCACCGUAGUCCCAUGUGCAAGAGCCCCCACUUGACAGCCCAGUGGUUG
Molecule: long non-coding RNA, 531 nt
Organism: Dermacentor albipictus
Lineage: Eukaryota; Metazoa; Arthropoda; Arachnida; Ixodida; Ixodidae
Source: RefSeq, a predicted model, not a curated record